RNAcentral lists this transfer RNA (69 nucleotides) under Cristarma eulimene. RNAcentral describes it as "Chiromantes eulimene tRNA-Lys". The record is from RNAcentral. Lineage: Eukaryota; Metazoa; Arthropoda; Malacostraca; Decapoda; Sesarmidae.
CACCCGAUGACUGAAAGUAAGUUUAGAUCUUUUAAAUCUAUCAUAGUAUAUUAACGUCUACUUCUGGUG